Molecule: unclassified non-coding RNA, 345 nt
Filed under: soil metagenome
Description: partial contains 5.8S ribosomal RNA, internal transcribed spacer 2, and large subunit ribosomal RNA
Rfam family: 5.8S ribosomal RNA (bases 1-119)
Source: RNAcentral
GAUGAAAACGUAGCGAAAUGCGAUACGUAAUGUGAAUUGCAGAAUUCAGUGAAUCAUCGAGUCUUUGAACGCACAUUGCGCCCCCUGGUAUUCCGGGGGGCAUGCCUGUCCGAGCGUCAUUGCUGCCCUCAAGCACGGCUUGUGUGUUGGGCCUCCGUCCUCCUCCCGGGGGACGGGCCCGAAAGGCAGCGGCGGCACCGCGUCCGGUCCUCGAGCGUAUGGGGCUUCGUCACCCGCUCUUGUAGGCCCGGCCGGCGCUUGCCGACACAUCAAUCUUUUUUCCAGGUUGACCUCGGAUCAGGUAGGGAUACCCGCUGAACUUAAGCAUAUCAAUAAGCGGGAGGA